GGAACAACAGUAUGUACCUCGGGUUCCUGGCCAAGUUUCCAUUUGCAUGGUUUCAUUUGCUCCAUUCUGUCAAGUUAUAUGUCCUAAGGAUAUAAUUUAGCAGACUGCUGGUCCCUGAUACAGGACGCAGCCAAAUGCUUUGCUGCAUGUAGCCUUCUGACUAGGGAGUGGCAGCUUGAGAAACCCCGAUGCCUGUAAGCAGCAAAAUCAUAGGGGAAGAGAUUUAGAGUUGUGGAGGAGUUUUCCUAAAGUGUUGUCUUUUAUAACUGCUCCGGAGAGUACUAACUUGUUACCUUAUAAUCUCUCAUCCUUGAGCAGGUUCUUUGGCUGUGGGUUAACCCUGUCAGGAAUAUCAAAGCAUGUGACAUGCUUGGCCACAGAAGUUGGUACGUGUGGGGUCUCUCACAAGUUCCUGUCAACACUUCAGCAUUGCAGCUCUCCAGAAUGGAUAACGUUGCUGCCAUUCAUUCUGAGUGGCAUCGUGGCCUCAUUUACAUGGGUUUUACGCUAUCUCAGUUAUCUCAACCUUUUGCUACAGUCAGUUCUUCAUUAUCUGAAGUCCAAAGAAGGAACACAAGAUCUGUUUUACUUCAUCGUGUCGCAACCUCGGUCAUGGACUCGGAAAGCAGACAGCAGCUCCGGUGUGAAAUCAUGAGCCUCUUCUUGCGUCUGCCUCCAGAGCGACUACCCACGUCCCUCACACUGCACAGGCUGCAACAUCCCCGAAACCAAAGACCAGCAGAGUUAUCCAUCUCGCAGUACUCAGAAUGUAGCUCGUUAUCAAUUAUAAAUAUGCAUAUGUGGAUGUGCUUGAACACCUUUAUUCACCUGCAUAAAUCAACACAAGACACACAAUUGCCAAAUGUAUUCACCUAUAAUGAACACCUACCUGGAUACACGGCUGGUUUGAAACAAGACCAAGCAGGCGAUUAUGCAGAGCAAUAA
RNAcentral lists this long non-coding RNA (945 nucleotides) under Anser cygnoides (Swan goose). RNAcentral's name for it is "lncRNA (ENSACDG00005010108.1)". Lineage: Eukaryota; Metazoa; Chordata; Aves; Anseriformes; Anatidae. The record is from RNAcentral.